This 866-nucleotide long non-coding RNA is filed under the name Monodelphis domestica (gray short-tailed opossum). RNAcentral's name for it is "lncRNA (ENSMODG00000034029.2)". The record is from RNAcentral. Lineage: Eukaryota; Metazoa; Chordata; Mammalia; Didelphimorphia; Didelphidae.
AGCCAGAAUGAACUGCCAUUUGUACCUCCAUCUGUUUUUCCUUGGUCUCCAGAAAGCUGGUUAGUUAUGGACAACUGUGAAGCUUAUAUCCAAAAGGUAUGCAUCUGGAAGAUGGAGGACUAUAGUAUAUAUAGAUUCAUGAGCAAACCUCUUCAAUUCAUCUAGGAAUGUCGUCUCUAAAAAAAAUCCAUAAGGAGACUACUGAUACCUAAUGGGAGGAACAGAGAAAUGAGAACUGAAAUAUUACCUUUAAAAUUAACUCAUUAAAUUCAUAUUAAAAUUUAAUAAUUUCUUUGUAAUACAGUUAUUUUUCCUUUAUCUGAUAUAGGUUAUUCAAUUAUCUUAACUUUAGUUUUUGUCCAGUGUAUUCACAAGUUCAUAGUUGUGUUUUGUAAGUUAUAAUGAACUAAAGUCUUCUACCUAUAUUUUAAAGUAUUUAAAUUAAUGUUUAAAAGGGAGCAGUUUUUGAAGAUUUCAGGUCCUUUAGAAGACUUGCUGGUGCAUGGAAGGGUCUAAAUUUACUAGCAGUUAGAUUAUGUACCUCUAAGAAGGAUGGUUGAAGAAAUAUCACAGGAAGCCACUGGUCACUUUCUUAUUGCUCAUCCAGAAACAAGAAUAUAAAAUGAAUGAAAAGAAAUGCUUUGUGAGAGAGGAAAAGAAAUGUUUCUAAAAUUAAACAAAACAACUUUAAAAGGAGUUCAAUAGAAAAAUGUUUUCUUGCCAAAUUAUAAUUCCUUUGAAUUUCAUUAUUUCAAUCCACUAGUUAAAAAUAGAUUUUUUAAAGUGGCUCUGGGAAGGAUUCCUUGCAUAAGUUAUUUUGUUUUAUAAAAGAUGGAAAUAUUUCUUCUAUUCUGCCACCAUUUGGG